Molecule: transfer RNA, 89 nt
Filed under: Caulobacter sp.
Lineage: Bacteria; Pseudomonadati; Pseudomonadota; Alphaproteobacteria; Caulobacterales; Caulobacteraceae
Description: tRNA-Leu
Rfam family: tRNA
About the family: Transfer RNA (tRNA) molecules are approximately 80 nucleotides in length.
Source: RNAcentral
GGGGACCUGGCGGAAUUGGUAGACGCAGCGGACUUAAAAUCCGUUGGGCUUCGCAGCUCGUGUGGGUUCGACUCCCACGGUCCCCACCA